GAUGAACGCUGGCGGCGUGCCUAAUACAUGCAAGUAGAACGCUGAAGGAAGGAGCUUGCUCUUUCCGGAUGAGUUGCGAACGGGUGAGUAACGCGUAGGUAACCUGCCUGGUAGCGGGGGAUAACUAUUGGAAACGAUAGCUAAUACCGCAUAACAGUAGAUGUUGCAUGAUAUCUACUUAAAAGGUGCAAUUGCACCACUACCAGAUGGACCUUCGUUGUAUUAGCUAGUUGGUGAGGUAACGGCUCACCAAGGCGACGAUACAUAGCCGACCUGAGAGGGUGAGCGGCCACACUGGGACUGAGACACGGCACAGACUCCUACGGGAGGCAGCAGUAGGGAAUCUUCGGCAAUAGACGGAAGUCUGACCGAGCAACGCCGCGGGAGGGAAGAAGGGUGUCGGAUCGUAAAGCUCUGUUGUAAGAGAAGAACGAGUGUGAGAGUGGAAAGUUCACACUGUGACGGUAUCUGACCAGAAAGGGACGGCUAACUACGUG
Molecule: ribosomal RNA, 497 nt
Filed under: uncultured bacterium
Lineage: Bacteria
Description: partial 16S ribosomal RNA
Rfam family: Bacterial small subunit ribosomal RNA
Source: RNAcentral